RNAcentral lists this ribosomal RNA (252 nucleotides) under uncultured bacterium. Its description in RNAcentral is "partial 16S ribosomal RNA". It matches the Rfam family "Bacterial small subunit ribosomal RNA", at positions 525 to 776 of the family's 1533-position model. The record is from RNAcentral.
ACGAAGGGUGCAAGCGUUACUCGGAAUUACUGGGCGUAAAGCGUGCGUAGGUGGUGGUUUAAGUCUGCUGUGAAAGCCCUGGGCUCAACCUGGGAAUUGCAGUGGAUACUGGAUUACUAGAGUGUGGUAGAGGGAUGCGGAAUUUCUGGUGUAGCAGUGAAAUGCGUAGAGAUCAGAAGGAACAUCCGUGGCGAAGGCGGCAUCCUGGGCCAACACUGACACUGAGGCACGAAAGCGUGGGGAGCAAACAGG